CAAGACAUUUAUUCACAAAGAUUAACUCUUCCGAAGUAUUAUUGCGUUAGAGGCGUGGGCUAUGCAAAAAUAUGAAUAAUUCGAGGAAAUAAAAAGGAGCAAGUGCUCGACAACCUCGUAGAAAAAAAUGGACAAAGUGUCCUGCAGUAGAAUUAGGAGUACCUCGGUAUCCACUUAAAAAAGAGAAAAAAAAAGAAAAUGAUAGCCCAUGGUCCCUCUAAUAAGCAAUAUGCCAUUAAGAGUUGACAAGUUUUUAAUUUUCAAAGUCUUUGAUCUAAGAGUAUGACAUUCUUCUCCUCGGAUCCCGUUUUGAUCAGGCAAUAAAUACAAAUUAAGUAUGCUUGAGAAUUUUUUGCAAAUUAAAACAACCUCAGUGAGGUACAAAAGAUAAUGAGUGACUUGAGAGAACCUAUGAGGAUAAAAGCAUGCUAAAUUUCUUUUCAAAAAUAUACAAAAACUCCAAGUAACAGGAUUGAAAGGAAGAAAGGAUCUCUACUCUUGAUCAUGUAUUUCCCUGACUAAGGUACACAGUGAAUUUUAACAACACCCUGCAGGUAUGAAGAAAAUGCUUUACAAUGUUUUGACCCCAGAUAUUUUUCUUAACCAUCCUUUUCUCGAGGACGAGUAAAAGCAUAAGUAUGGGGGUAUUUGUUGACGGUUCUUAAGUAUUAAUUUUAAUUAUCAAAUAAACAAGAGAAAGGACCAAUAUACAAACAACACCUAGAAUUAGGGUUCGAUCUGACACAAUUCCAAGAGUUUUGUUGUUUAUUUGUUUCUGUAGGGGGUUAUCAGGAAAUAAGGAAGAAAGGCCCACAUGUCGGGAUUACAUAGAGAUAUUAACGCACUGCGCAAUUUUCUACCAUCUAGAAGACUCCAGAAGCGAUGGGAACGAACGGGAAGGCGCCUAGGGUGCCCACCCAGGUGUUGUGUCCAAUCCCGUCCAACUUCGCAGAUCACGCUCCACCGACGUAAAGGAUCAAGGAUAACCGUUCAAUCAAUGUCGGUUUGAACCAAUGGCCCACGUUCACUUGAGGGGGCAAUAUAAGCAGACCCCCUGGCCCCUGGAGGAGAACAAGUUCAUCAUAGAGUUGAGAGGAGCCCUCGAAGGAUAACCUCUCCUCUAAAUAGACUUAGGGCUUAGCAUCCAACGUGAGUAGAAUUAGUUCUUCUAAGUUCUACUAGAUUGAGAGAGAUAGAGUGGAGGUGUAGAUCGGAGGAAGCCCGGCCUGUCGAUGUCUACUCCGAGGUUGUACCUGCGGGAUCAAGUUCUCCUAACCCGAAGCUUGCUCCUAGGAUUCUUCAGUAUUUCGACUUCUAAAUUCUAGUAAGUUCUUGUUUUAUUGUUCGUUGGUUUAUGAGUUUACUUUAAUCUCUUCACGCAGAGUUUAGAGUAAUCAUCUCUAGCCUAGACGUGGUGUUUGGGCUAGGAAACUCAUAGAUAUUCCCUGACUAGCUGGACCGUGGUAGUAGCGAGGAACGUGACAUUUCCGAGUUACAUUUGCAGCCCAUAACCCGUUAGU
This 1520-nucleotide long non-coding RNA is filed under the name Sorghum bicolor (sorghum). RNAcentral's name for it is "long non-coding RNA (SBIC_LNC014179)". The record is from RNAcentral. Lineage: Eukaryota; Viridiplantae; Streptophyta; Magnoliopsida; Poales; Poaceae.